GAAAUGUUGACUAUGUGAGUGGUGCAGUGGAGUUAUGUUGACUGAAUGAGUAAUAUUAUAUGAGUAAUGUUGAAUAUUUGAGUAGUGUUGACUAUAUGAAUAUAGUGCUGUGAAGUAAUGCCGACUAUGUGAGUGGUGCUUUGGAGGAAUGAUGACUUUGUGAGUAGCGUUAUGUGAGUAAUGUUGACUUUGGAGUUAUGUUGAUUAUGUAAGUGGUGCAGAAAAAUGAUGUUAGCUAUGUGAGUAAUGCUGUGGAGUAAUGUUGACUACGUGCGUGUUUCUAUGGAGUAAUGUUUGACUAUGUGAGUGGUGCUUCGGAGUAAUGUUGUCUAUUUGAGUGUAGCUUUCGAGUAAUCUUGACUAUGUGAGUGGUACUGUUUAGAAAUGUUGACUAUGUGACUGCCAGUGAGUAAUAUUGACUGUGUGAGUAGUGUGCAGUGGAGUUAUGUUUACUAUGUGAGUGUUGCUUUUGAGUAUUAUUGACUAUGUGAGUGUUGCUUUUGAGUAAUGUUAAAUGUGUUAGAAGUGUAAUGUGAGUAAUCUUGACUAUAUGAGUGGUGCUCUGUGUGGUAAUUUUUUGACUGUGUGAGUGGUGCAUUGGAGUAAUGUUGACUUUGUGAGUGCUUUUGAGUAAUGUUGACUAUGUGGGUGGUACUGUGGAGUAAUGUUGAAUGUGUGGGUAGUGUUAUGUGAGUAAUGUUGACAAUGUGAGGGGUGCUAUGGAGCAAUGUUGACUAUGUAGUGGUGCUAUGGAGUAAUGUUGACUAUGCGAGUGUUGCUUUUGAGUAUUGUUUCUAUGUGAGUGGUACUGUGAAGUAAUAUUGAAAGUGUGAGUAGUGUUAUGUGAGUAAUGUUGACUAUGUUAGUGGUGAUCCGUGAGUAAUGUUGCCUUUGUGAGUGGUGCAGAGGAGUGAUGUUGACUAUGUGAGUGUUUCUGUGGAAUAAUGUUGAAUAUGUAGGUGGUGCUUUUGAGUAAUGUUGAAUGUUUGAGUGUUGUUAUGUGAGUAAUGUUGACUAUGUGAGUGGUUCUUUUUAAGUGAGUGAUGUAGUGGAGUAAUGUUGACUAUUUGAGUGGUGCUGUGGAGUAAUGUUGACUAUGUGAGUGUUGUUAUGUGAGUAAUGUUGACUAUGUGAGUACCGUUAUGUGAGUAAUGUUGACUAUAUAAGUGGUGCAGUGAAACAAUGUUAACUACUAGUAUGUUAUUGAUGUUGUGGAUUAAUGUUGACUACGUGAGUGGUGCUAUGGAGUAAUGUUGACUAUGUGAGUGGUGCUUUGGAGUAAUUGUAAUCAAGUGCCUAAACGUUUAAACGUUUUAUACCAGUCCUUGCCGGAGGGGUUACAAUAUAGACAACAUUACACCAAACAAUGAAAAAUACCGGAAAUAGCAUUAUAAUACUAAAUACAAUCAAAAUUUAAAUAUUGCCAAUAGCUUGUUAAAAGCAUUCACGCCAAUUCAACCUGUUUCCUUUAAGAAAAAAAAUCUUGCGUAUAGCUGAAAUAAUGGUAAAAAAACAAAAUCAAAAUCAUAUUAGCAUUCGUUGUUUUUCACAGAUCAUAUCAUGCACAUGCUCUAGGUGUUAAGCCUUCACGUAUUAUACUGUGACGUCUACUUUAAUGCCGCAUCAGACGAAAUCAUUUUUUUGAAAAUCGAUGUUUCAUCACAUUAUAAACCAUCUUUUAAAUAUAGAAAGCGGAAUUGGAUGCAUAAAACAGUAAAAAAAAAAAAAAAAAAAAAAACGUCAUCACGUUAAACGAGAUUUGACGUCGUGAUUUCCACAUGACGCUGACGUCGUUUCUACGCGACAUUGUCAUUGACGCCACAGCAAUAGCAAAGCGAAUUUAUUCACUUAGCAGUUUUCAGCGAUAUUUAAUGAUUAUCGACAGUUAUGGAGGAAGUUUUUAUACCGAAAAUAUCUAUGCUGACCCAAGAUGGAGGAAUAUUUUCCAGUCUUGACAGUUUAUCUGUAUUUACCGGAUACGUUCCCAUUACAGUUCCGAUUUUCCAGGCAGUGAAAGUAAAGCAAGAAAACAGACUAACCACUUUCCUGCAAAACAUUGAGAAACUCUGUUCUGAAAUAUUCUAGACAAAGAUUAUGAUAUCAUUAGUACUGAUGAAGAUUUUGAUACACUGUUUUCCUCUGAGACACACCUAGUUUUAAAAGAACGCAAAAGAACGCUGGUACACCUCAUUAAGAAACAUGAAACAGCCCUGCUUGCAUUGAGAGAAGCUAGAAUGAAUUGUUGGAAGUCAAAGGCAAAACUGCAAAAGU
Ruditapes philippinarum (Manila clam) is the source of this 2271-nucleotide long non-coding RNA. RefSeq lists it as uncharacterized. The transcript is spliced from 5 exons. Lineage: Eukaryota; Metazoa; Mollusca; Bivalvia; Venerida; Veneridae. The record is from RefSeq and is a predicted model, not a curated record.